RNAcentral lists this ribosomal RNA (460 nucleotides) under uncultured bacterium. Its description in RNAcentral is "partial 16S ribosomal RNA". It matches the Rfam family "Bacterial small subunit ribosomal RNA", at positions 355 to 830 of the family's 1533-position model. The record is from RNAcentral.
UGGGGAAUAUUGCACAAUGGGCGAAAGCCUGAUGCAGCAACGCCGCGUGAGUGAUGAAGGCCUUCGGGUUGUAAAGCUCUGUCUUUUGGGACGAUAAUGACGGUACCAAAGGAGGAAGCCACGGCUAACUACGUGCCAGCAGCCGCGGUAAUACGUAGGUGGCAAGCGUUGUCCGGAUUUUACUGGGCGUAAAGGAUGCGUAGGCGGAUUUUUCAAGUGAGAUGUGAAAACCCUAAGCUUAACUUGGGGACUGCAUUUCAUACUGGAAAUCUAGAGUGCGGGAGAGGAGAAUGGAAUUCCUAGUGUAGCGGUGAAAUGCGUAGAGAUUAGGAAGAACACCAGUGGCGAAGGCGAUUCUCUGGACCGUAACUGACGCUGAGGCAUGAAAGCGUGGGUAGCAAACAGGAUUAGAUACCCUGGUAGUCCACGCCGUAAACGAUGAGUACUAGGUGUAGGAGGU